AUCAGGGGUAAACCUGUGGAACUCGAACGAUCGAACGGGGAGACUCAUCGCUCUUCUGCGGGUCCCUAUGCGUAGUGCGGUGUGAAUGCGCUUGCGUAUUCGCGUCGCGCUGCGUGUCGUGAGACUCGCGGAGUGCGUGCACUUCUCCCUUAGUAUAACACCGCGACCCGUUGAGCAGCCGGUCGAACGCGCCGUGCGGUUGUCCCGACUUCCCGUGCAAACGGGGGCCGGAGCCGCGGCGUCGCGACCGGCUUUCGACGGUAACGAACGAGGUUUGCGUCCGCCUUUUAGGCGUCCGCGGCAUUGCGGUGUCGUCCCCCGUCGGGUCCUCUGCGCUACGCGUAGCAGGUAUCCGGUGCGGUCGGCGGAAGCGGCUCUUUGUCGUUUUCGUCGCGGACGGCACGCAGUCGUGUCGCUCGGACGGGACGCGUCCCGGUCUGCGGUGGUUUUGUUUCGGGCACUCACAGGACCC
This 472-nucleotide ribosomal RNA is filed under the name Cheumatopsyche sp. 8 XZ-2016. RNAcentral's name for it is "partial 28S ribosomal RNA". Lineage: Eukaryota; Metazoa; Arthropoda; Insecta; Trichoptera; Hydropsychidae. The record is from RNAcentral.